RNAcentral lists this ribosomal RNA (425 nucleotides) under uncultured bacterium. Its description in RNAcentral is "bacterial SSU rRNA". It matches the Rfam family "Bacterial small subunit ribosomal RNA", at positions 355 to 772 of the family's 1533-position model. The record is from RNAcentral.
UGGGGAAUAUUGGACAAUGGGGGCAACCCUGAUCCAGCGAUGCCGCGUGUGUGAAGAAGGCCUGCGGGUUGUAAAGCACUUUCGGUGUGGAAGAGAAGCGCAGGUUGAAUAAGCCUGCGUGGAGACGUUACACACAGAAGAAGCACCGGCUAACUCUGUGCCAGCAGCCGCGGUAAUACAGAGGGUGCGAGCGUUAAUCGGAGUGACUGGGCGUAAAGGGCGCGUAGGCGGUUAGAUUAGUCUGAUGUGAAAGACCUGGGCUUAACCUGGGAUGUGCAUUGGAAACGGUCUGGCUAGAGUUUGAGAGAGGGAAGUGGAAUUUCCGGUGUAGCGGUGAAAUGCGUAGAGAUCGGAAAGAACACUCGUGGCGAAGGCGACUUUCUGGCUCAAAACUGACGCUGAGGCGCGAAAGCGUGGGGAGCAAA